This 201-nucleotide unclassified non-coding RNA is filed under the name uncultured Sebacina. RNAcentral describes it as "sequence contains ITS2". The record is from RNAcentral. Lineage: Eukaryota; Fungi; Basidiomycota; Agaricomycetes; Sebacinales; Sebacinaceae.
GUACUCUCACACUUCCGGUCUUUGGAUUGGGAGCGGUGGACAUGGGUUUGCUGCCUCACGGUAGCUUGCCUCAAAUAUGUUAGUGCAGCUCUUGGUUGGACAUAGUACGGCGUGAUAAGUUCUUCGCCGGUGCCUCGCUUGCGGGGGUGGCCGAUCGGGGUGGUGUGCUCCAAACCGUCCGUGUUCGGACAAUCUCUGACA